GUAGAAGUAGAGCAGUAGAAGCAGAGCAGUAGAGGCAGAGCAGUAGAAGUAGAGCAGUAGAAGCAGAGCAGUAGAAGUAGUGCAGAAGAGGUAGUGCAGUAGAAGUAGAGCAGUAGAAGUAGAGCAGUAGAGGUAGUGCAGUAGAAGUAGAGCAGUAGAAGUAGUGCAGUAGACGCAGAGCAGUAGAGGCAGAGCAGUAGAAGUAGUGCAGAAGAGGUAGAGCAGAGAUACUCACUGUAAAAUUUGGAGUUCCUCCUAGCCAUUCUGAUGGUAUCCGUGACAUUCCU
This is a long non-coding RNA of Oncorhynchus tshawytscha (Chinook salmon), 287 nucleotides long. The record is from Ensembl. Lineage: Eukaryota; Metazoa; Chordata; Actinopteri; Salmoniformes; Salmonidae.